This 127-nucleotide transfer RNA is filed under the name Candidatus Nomurabacteria bacterium. Its description in RNAcentral is "tRNA-Thr". It matches the Rfam family "tRNA". Rfam says of the family: Transfer RNA (tRNA) molecules are approximately 80 nucleotides in length. Their secondary structure includes four short double-helical elements and three loops (D, anti-codon, and T loops). Further hydrogen bonds mediate the characteristic L-shaped molecular structure. tRNAs have two regions of fundamental functional importance: the anti-codon, which is responsible for specific mRNA codon recognition, and the 3' end, to which the tRNAs corresponding amino acid is attached (by aminoacyl-tRNA synthetases). tRNAs cope with the degeneracy of the genetic code in two manners: having more than one tRNA (with a specific anti-codon) for a particular amino acid; and 'wobble' base-pairing, i.e. permitting non-standard base-pairing at the 3rd anti-codon position. The record is from RNAcentral. Lineage: Bacteria; Candidatus Nomuraibacteriota.
GCCAUCUUAGCUCAGUUGGUAGAGCGUAGCAUCCGUAACGCUAAGGUCCGGAGUUGACCUAGUUUUUAUUGACCGGAGGGAAUAUAAAAACGGAAAUACUCUCGUGGUGCGAUCCUCCGAGAUGGCU